GAUGAACGCUGGCGGCGUGCCUAAUACAUGCAAGUCGAGCGAACAGACGAGGAGCUUGCUCCUCUGACGUUAGCGGCGGACGGGUGAGUAGCACGUGGAUAACCUACCUAUAAGACUGGGAUAACUUCGGGAAACCGGAGCUAAUACCGGAUAAUAUAUUGAACCGCAUGGUUCAAUAGUGAAAGACGGUUUUGCUGUCACUUAUAGAUGGAUCCGCGCCGCAUUAGCUAGUUGGUAAGGUAACGGCUUACCAAGGCAACGAUGCGUAGCCGACCUGAGAGGGUGAUCGGCCACACUGGAACUGAGACACGGUCCAGACUCCUACGGGAGGCAGCAGUAGGGAAUCUUCCGCAAUGGGCGAAAGCCUGACGGAGCAACGCCGCGUGUGUGAUGAAGGUCUUCGGAUCGUAAAACUCUGUUAUUAGGGAAGAACAAAUGUGUAAGUAACUAUGCACGUCUUGACGGUACCUAAUCAGAAAGCCACGGCUAACUACGUG
Molecule: ribosomal RNA, 497 nt
Filed under: uncultured bacterium
Lineage: Bacteria
Description: partial 16S ribosomal RNA
Rfam family: Bacterial small subunit ribosomal RNA
Source: RNAcentral